RNAcentral lists this ribosomal RNA (471 nucleotides) under uncultured bacterium. Its description in RNAcentral is "SSU rRNA". It matches the Rfam family "Bacterial small subunit ribosomal RNA", at positions 26 to 518 of the family's 1533-position model. The record is from RNAcentral.
AGAUUGAACGCUGGCGGCGUGCCUAACACAUGCAAGUCGAGCGGUAACAGGUGUAGCAAUACAUGCUGACGAGCGGCGAACGGGUGAGUAAUGCUUUGGAAUCUUCCCAGUAGUGGGGAAUAACCAGUCGAAAGAUUGGCUAAUACCGCAUACGUCUGUAAAGGGAAAGCGGGGGCUCGUAAGACCUCGCGCUAUUGGAUGAGCCAAAGUCGGAUUAGCUUGUUGGUGGGGUAAUGGCCUACCAAGGCGACAAUCCGUAGCUGGUCUGAGAGGACGACCAGCCACACCGGAACUGAGACACGGUCCGGACUCCUACGGGAGGCAGCAGUGGGGAAUCUUGCGCAAUGGGCGAAAGCCUGACGCAGCAACGCCGCGUGAGGGACGAAGGCCUUCGGGUUGUAAACCUCUUUCAGCAGGGACGAUUGUGACGGUACCUGCAGAGAAGCCCGGCAACUACGUGCCAGCAGCCGC